This 172-nucleotide ribosomal RNA is filed under the name Laccaria laccata. Its description in RNAcentral is "5.8S ribosomal RNA". The stretch from base 6 to 159 matches the Rfam family "5.8S ribosomal RNA". From Rfam's summary of the family: 5.8S ribosomal RNA (5.8S rRNA) is a component of the large subunit of the eukaryotic ribosome. It is transcribed by RNA polymerase I as part of the 45S precursor that also contains 18S and 28S rRNA. The record is from RNAcentral. Lineage: Eukaryota; Fungi; Basidiomycota; Agaricomycetes; Agaricales; Hydnangiaceae.
UAUACAACUUUCAGCAACGGAUCUCUUGGCUCUCGCAUCGAUGAAGAACACAGCGAAAUGCGAUAAGUAAUGUGAAUUGCAGAAUUCAGUGAAUCAUCGAAUCUUUGAACGCACCUUGCGCUCCUUGGUAUUCCGAGGAGCAUGCCUGUUUGAGUGUCAUUAAAUUCUCAAC